CGGGUGGUAAUGCCGGAUGCUCCAUCACACUGCAUGGUGUGUUGGGAAAGCCUUUGCGGCAUGGGAUGGGGUCGCGUCCUAUCAGCUUGAUGGCGGGGUAACGGCCCACCAUGGCUUCGACGGGUAGCCGGCCUGAGAGGGCGACCGGCCACAUUGGGACUGAGAUACGGCCCAGACUCCUACGGGAGGCAGCAGUGGGGAAUAUUGCACAAUGGGCGCAAGCCUGAUGCAGCGACGCCGCGUGAGGGAUGGAGGCCUUCGGGUUGUAAACCUCUUUUGUUAGGGAGCAAGGCAUUUUGUGUUGAGUGUACCUUUCGAAUAAGCACCGGCUAACUACGUGCCAGCAGCCGCGGUAAUACGUAGGGUGCAAGCGUUAUCCGGAAUUAUUGGGCGUAAAGGGCUCGUAGGCGGUUCGUCGCGUCCGGUGUGAAAGUCCAUCGCUUAACGGUGGAUCCGCGCCGGGUACGGGCGGGCUUGAGUGCGGUAGGGGAGACUGGAAUUCCCGGUGUAACGGUGGAAUGUGUAGAUAUCGGAAAGAACACCA
This 544-nucleotide ribosomal RNA is filed under the name Bifidobacterium breve. RNAcentral describes it as "bacterial SSU rRNA". It matches the Rfam family "Bacterial small subunit ribosomal RNA", at positions 157 to 711 of the family's 1533-position model. Lineage: Bacteria; Bacillati; Actinomycetota; Actinomycetes; Bifidobacteriales; Bifidobacteriaceae. The record is from RNAcentral.